RNAcentral lists this small nuclear RNA (95 nucleotides) under Ursus americanus (American black bear). Lineage: Eukaryota; Metazoa; Chordata; Mammalia; Carnivora; Ursidae. RNAcentral also lists the same sequence under 2 other names. The record is from RNAcentral.
AUGAUCUAGAGAAUAUUAGCUAAAAUUGGAAUGAUCUAGAGAAUAUUAGCAUGUGCAAGGAUAACAUGCAAAUUCGUGAAGUGUUCCAUAUUUUU